This 476-nucleotide ribosomal RNA is filed under the name uncultured organism. RNAcentral's name for it is "partial 16S ribosomal RNA". It matches the Rfam family "Bacterial small subunit ribosomal RNA", at positions 334 to 801 of the family's 1533-position model. The record is from RNAcentral.
CACUCCUGCGGGAGGCAGCAGUGGGGAAUUUUGGACAAUGGGCGCAAGCCUGAUCCAGCCAUGCCGCGUGUCUGAAGAAGGCCUUCGGGUUGUAAAGGACUUUUGUCCGGGAGCAAAUCCUAGUGGUUAAUAACCGCUGGGUCUGAGAGUACCGGAAGAAUAAGCACCGGCUAACUACGUGCCAGCAGCCGCGGUAAUACGUAGGGUGCAAGCGUUAAUCGGAAUUACUGGGCGUAAAGCGUGCGCAGGCGGUUGUGCAAGUCUGAUGUGAAAGCCCCGGGCUUAACCUGGGAACGGCAUUGGAGACUGAACGACUAGAGUGCGUCAGAGGGGGGUAGAAUUCCGCGUGUAGCAGUGAAAUGCGUAGAGAUGCGGAGGAAUACCGAUGGCGAAGGCAGCCCCCUGGGAUGACACUGACGCUCAUGCACGAAAGCGUGGGGAGCAAACAGGAUUAGAUACCCCGGUAGUCCCAUGAU